GUAAAAGUCGUAACAAGGUCUCCGUUGGUGAACCAGCGGAGGGAUCAUUACCGAGUUUACAACUCCCAAACCCCUGUGAACAUACCUUAAUGUUGCCUCGGCGGAUCAGCCCGCGCCCCGUAAAACGGGACGGCCCGCCAGAGGACCCAAACUCUAAUGUUUCUUAUUGUAACUUCUGAGUAAAACAAACAAAUAAAUCAAAACUUUCAACAACGGAUCUCUUGGUUCUGGCAUCGAUGAAGAACGCAGCAAAAUGCGAUAAGUAAUGUGAAUUGCAGAAUUCAGUGAAUCAUCGAAUCUUUGAACGCACAUUGCGCCCGCUGGUAUUCCGGCGGGCAUGCCUGUUCGAGCGUCAUUUCAACCCUCAAGCCCCCGGGUUUGGUGUUGGGGAUCGGCUCUGCCCUUCUGGGCGGUGCCGCCCCCGAAAUACAUUGGCGGUCUCGCUGCAGCCUCCAUUGCGUAGUAGCUAACACCUCGCAACUGGAACGCGGCGCGGCCAUGCCGUAAAACCCCAACUUCUGAAUGUUGACCUCGGAUCAGGUAGGAAUACCCGCUGAACUU
RNAcentral lists this ribosomal RNA (561 nucleotides) under Fusarium avenaceum. RNAcentral describes it as "eukaryotic LSU rRNA". The stretch from base 202 to 355 matches the Rfam family "5.8S ribosomal RNA". The record is from RNAcentral. Lineage: Eukaryota; Fungi; Ascomycota; Sordariomycetes; Hypocreales; Nectriaceae.